RNAcentral lists this ribosomal RNA (253 nucleotides) under uncultured bacterium. RNAcentral's name for it is "partial 16S ribosomal RNA". It matches the Rfam family "Bacterial small subunit ribosomal RNA", at positions 524 to 776 of the family's 1533-position model. The record is from RNAcentral.
UACGUAGGCAGCGAGCGGUGUUCGGAAUUACUGGGCGUAAAGCGUGCGUAGGCGGUCGGCUAAGUUUGGUGUGAAAUCUCCCGGCUCAACCGGGAGGGUGCGCCGAAAACUGGCCGGCUAGAGUGCGGGAGAGGGAAGUGGAAUUCCUGGUGUAGCGGUGAAAUGCGUAGAUAUCAGGAGGAACACCGGUGGUGAAGACGGCUUCCUGGACCGUGACUGACGCUGAGGCACGAAAGCGUGGGGAGCAAACAGG